This 253-nucleotide ribosomal RNA is filed under the name uncultured bacterium. Its description in RNAcentral is "partial 16S ribosomal RNA". It matches the Rfam family "Bacterial small subunit ribosomal RNA", at positions 524 to 776 of the family's 1533-position model. The record is from RNAcentral.
UACAGAGGUCCCAAGCGUUGUUCGGAUUCACUGGGCGUAAAGGGUGCGUAGGUGGCGAGGUAAGUCGGAUGUGAAAGCUCGGAGCUCAACUCCGAAAUGGCAUUGGAAACUACCUUGCUCGAGGGUCGGAGGGGGGACUGGAAUACUUGGUGUAGCAGUGAAAUGCGUAGAUAUCAAGUGGAACACCGGUGGCGAAGGCGGUUCUCUGGGCCUUACCUGACGCUGAGGAGCGAAAGCGUGGGUAGCGAACAGG